This 506-nucleotide ribosomal RNA is filed under the name uncultured bacterium. RNAcentral describes it as "partial 16S ribosomal RNA". It matches the Rfam family "Bacterial small subunit ribosomal RNA", at positions 30 to 523 of the family's 1533-position model. The record is from RNAcentral.
AUUGAACGCUGGCGGCAGGCUUAGCACAUGCAAGUCGAGCGGUAACAGAGAGAAGCUUGCUUCUCUGCUGACGAGCGGCGGACGGGUGAGUAGUGCCUAGGAAUCUGCCUAGUAGUGGGGGAUAACUUGCCGAAAGGUAAGCUAAUACCGCAUACGUCCUAUGGGAGAAAGGAGGGGACCUUCGGGCCUUUCGCUAUUAGAUGAGCCUAGGUCGGAUUAGUUAGUUGGUGAGGUAAUGGCUCACCAAGACCGCGAUCCGUAACUGGUCUGAGAGGAUGAUCAGUCACACUGGAACUGAGACACGGUCCAGGCUCCUACGGGAGGCAGCAGUGGGGAAUAUUGGACAAUGGGGGGAACCCUGAUCCAGCCAUGCCGCGUGUGUGAAGAAGGUCUUAGGAUUGUAAAGCACUUUAAGUUGGGAGGAAGAGCAGUUAACUAAUAUUUGACUGUUUUGACGUUACCGACAGAAUAAGCACCGGCUAACUUCGUGCCAGCAGCCGCCGUAA